UGCUAAAGAGUAGGUGAUCAUAUGUGUUCUUCAGUUUUCGAUCAAACCUGCAAUAUUAGUUCACAGCAGUUAAGACCUGCAUGU
This 84-nucleotide small RNA is filed under the name Arabidopsis thaliana (thale cress). RNAcentral's name for it is "ATSL218470". Lineage: Eukaryota; Viridiplantae; Streptophyta; Magnoliopsida; Brassicales; Brassicaceae. The record is from RNAcentral.